This 255-nucleotide ribosomal RNA is filed under the name uncultured bacterium. RNAcentral describes it as "partial 16S ribosomal RNA". It matches the Rfam family "Bacterial small subunit ribosomal RNA", at positions 524 to 776 of the family's 1533-position model. The record is from RNAcentral.
UACGUAGGGUGCGAGCGUUGUCCGGAAUUAUUGGGCGUAAAGAGCUCGUAGGCGGCUUGUCGCGUCGGAUGUGAAAGCCCGGGGCUUAACUCCGGGUCUGCAUUCGAUACGGGCAGGCUAGAGUUCGGUAGGGGAGAUCGGAAUUCCUGGUGUAGCGGUGAAAUGCGCAGAUAUCAGGAGGAACACCGGUGGCGAAGGCGGGGUCUCUGGGCCGUAACUGACGCUGAGGAGCGAAAGCGUGGGGGAGCGAACAGG